RNAcentral lists this ribosomal RNA (462 nucleotides) under uncultured bacterium. Its description in RNAcentral is "SSU rRNA". It matches the Rfam family "Bacterial small subunit ribosomal RNA", at positions 26 to 518 of the family's 1533-position model. The record is from RNAcentral.
AGAAUCAACGCUGGCGGCGUGCCUAACACAUGCAAGUCGAACGAGAAAGGGGUAGCAAUACCCUGAGUAAAGUGGCGCACGGGUGAGUAACACGUGACUAACCUACCCUUGAGUGGGGGAUAACUGAGGGAAACCUUAGCUAAUACCGCAUAAUACCCACGGGUCAAAGGAGCAAUUCGCUCGAGGAGGGGGUCGCGGCCGAUUAGUUAGUUGGCGGGGUAAUGGCCCACCAAGACGAUGAUCGGUAUCCGGCCUGAGAGGGCGCACGGACACACUGGAACUGAAACACGGUCCAGACUCCUACGGGAGGCAGCAGUGGGGAAUUUUGCGCAAUGGGGGAAACCCUGACGCAGCAACGCCGCGUGGAGGAUGAAGUCCUUCGGGACGUAAACUCCUUUCGAUCGGGACGAUUAUGACGGUACCGGAAGAAGAAGCCCCGGCUAACUUCGCGCCAGCGGCCGC